UAAACAAAGAGGAAGAUAGGAC
RNAcentral lists this non-coding RNA (22 nucleotides) under Arabidopsis thaliana (thale cress). The record is from RNAcentral. Lineage: Eukaryota; Viridiplantae; Streptophyta; Magnoliopsida; Brassicales; Brassicaceae.